This 253-nucleotide ribosomal RNA is filed under the name uncultured bacterium. RNAcentral's name for it is "partial 16S ribosomal RNA". It matches the Rfam family "Bacterial small subunit ribosomal RNA", at positions 524 to 776 of the family's 1533-position model. The record is from RNAcentral.
UACGUAGGGUGCGAGCGUUAAUCGGAAUUACUGGGCGUAAAGCGUGCGCAGGCGGUUUUGUAAGCCAGAUGGGAAAUCCCCGGGCUUAACCUGGGAAUGGCAUUUGGGACUGCAAGGCUGGAGUUUGGCAGAGGAGACUGGAAUUCCCGGUGUAGCAGUGAAAUGCGUAGAUAUCGGGAGGAAUACCGAUGGCGAAGGCAGGUCUCUGGGCUAUAACUGACGCUCAUGCACGAAAGCGUUGGGAGCAAACAGG